CAGACGUUUCCGUGCCGUGUCGGCUCGGGCAAGGAAUAGAGCGCAUUUACGCGUUUUAGGAUUCUGUCACGGCUGCGAAUUGCGCCAUCGCUCAGAUGGAAUGCAAAAAAAAAAAAAAAAGAAAAAAAAAAAAAAAAAAGAAUGGACCUUUAACGGGAGGGUGCAAAAAAAAGAAAAAAAAAAGAAAAAAAAAGUGAGGCAGCAGUGGAUGUCAAAAAGCAUGCAGAGGCAAGCUCAAGGCCUUCCGCAGUCGGGAACAAGACGGACAAGAGACGGCGUCUGUGCCCCCCCCCCCCUCACAAUGAUUUGUAUAUGAAAACAUAGCGCGUUUUUUUUAAUUUAUUUUUUUAAUCAUUCUCCCCCCUCCUGGCUCCGCUUGUUGAGUGAUCAGCUGAUGAAGAGACUCGCAGCUCGCCGCUAUGCUGGCUUGCUAAUUCUCUCCCCCACUGCUGCUGCGGUCGAUCCUGCUAGCCCGCCGCCUGCAGAUUGCACUCAGCCUCAAGCGGGAGGGAAGAGCUCCCCGCAGGAGAUGGAGGAGGACGGCGGUCAGAAGAAGCGUAAAGGCGAGGGCGAAGACAAGGCGCUCCAGGCGGCGCAGGAAACCGGAGAAAAGGUCAAGAGGAAGCGAGGGCGGCCGCCCGCGGAGAAGCUGCCGCCGAAUCCGCCCGAGCUCACCCGUCAACUGAGCACCCUGGUGGACAUGGUGGUCAACUACAAGGACGGUGUGGGUCGACAGAUCAGUAAAGGCUUCGUCCAGCUUCCCUCCAGGAAGGAAGCGCCCGAGUACUACGAGCUGAUCCGGAAGCCGGUGGACUUCAGAAGGAUCAGGGAACGUGUGCGUAACCACAAGUACCGAAGCGUCGGCGACCUGGAGAAGGACGUCUUUCUGCUGUGUCACAACGCUCAAACGUACAACCUGGAAGGAUCUCAGAUCUACGAGGACUCCAUUGUCAUCAAGUCUGUUUUCGAGAGCGCCAGGCUGCGAAUCGUCACCGACGAGGAGCCCAGACAAACGGCGGCCUCCACCGUGGUCGCCGUGAGCGGGGCCGACGGCUGCCAACCCGUGACGCCGGCAGAGCUUCAAACGGCGUCGUUCGCCAAGGCGGGUAACGAGGAGAAGAGUUGCAACCUCACGUCCAAGAAGCCGCUCUUGUACCGAGACCAGGAUGUGGAGGAAAUCACCUCAAAGGACGAAGGGUAUCUACUGGCCUAACACCAUCUCCAAUGCCAACAUGUGGGACCUCACUAGACAAGACACAAUAGAAACACAAAUCAGGAGAAGGAAAUGGAACUGAAUUGGUCACACACUGCGUAGACACAAUAGAUCAAUCACGAAACAUGCUCUAACAUGGAACCCGCAAGGCAAGAGGAAGAGAGGAAGGCCUAGAGCCACCUGGAGAAGAACCACAGAGCAGGAGAUGAAGGCGCAAGGGCUGUCAUGGCAACAACUGGAGCGGAGGGCACAAGACCGAAGGGGAUGGAGGAGUUUCAUUUCAUCAUGGCCUAUGAUCCUUAGGGAAUUUAAAGGCCUAAGUAACAUGGCCCAAAACUGGUCAAUCUUUGCUUCCUGAGGAAGAUCUUCACUGCCAAGCACUUGGUACUCCACUACUUCUUCCCAGAGGCUAUCCAGGUCCAAUCGCAGCUGCGGCUUGGAACUUACAAGCGUAUUUCUUCAUCUUACUCGUCGUUGGCGUCGCCACGGCUGUAUCUUCCUCAUUCUUCUGCUUGUCUCCUUGUUGUGUGCGCAGUUGUGCACUGCACUCACUCUCUAAAAGCCGUAGAUGUUAUAAAGUGAUUGGGCAGGCACGCUGUUUAUAUUGUGGGAAAGCGGACGUGAAAACAGGCUGUCGACACAUCACUCAGGUCCGCAUGGAGCUGGAGGGGGCGUGGCCUCCAGCUCCGCCUGAAUUCCGGGAGAUUUUCGGGAGAAAAUUUGUCCCAGGAGGUUUUCGGGAGAGGCGCUGAAUUUCGGGAGUAUCCCGGAAAAUCCGGGAGGGUUGGCAAGUAUGCCGAUAAUGGCUUUUUGCCGACACUUGUGGAAAUCACACUUGAAUACCUUGAGAGAAAGCGAUUGCAGCUAUUUCGGAUACAAAACUUCUCAGACGGCAAGAGAACUUUCGAAUGUCGAAGUCAGCUGUGAUUCUACUUAGCGAAAAACUUUGUCCAUUUGUCGAAGGAGAGACAACGAGAAUGUAAGCUCCCGUGGAUGUGAUAAAAUAAGGGAGCGUGUGCUUUGUAAUACCUGGCCGACGAGGGAAAACUACGGAAAACGGUGAAUGCUUUUGGACUGGCAUAGCAGACUGUAUCAGUUAUUGUCCGCCAUAUUAUUAUGUAUGUCGCGGACUCAACGUCUAGGUCCAGAGUAUAUAGCGUCACCAAAAACGAAUGGACAAUGAAGGUGAAGGCAAAAGAGUGAGGAGUGUCCUGACCAGAUAUCUAGAUCCCUAGUUUGAUUGAUGUAAAAUGUUCUUUAUCACAUUGUUUACGUGUCUAAUAAAGAUUUGAUUAAUUUAUGAUGGCUCAGGUGUGAUUCACUACAAUAGGGCCCCACAGCACACUGGAUUCCAGUUAAUUGAA
This is an RNA transcript of Nerophis lumbriciformis (worm pipefish), 2577 nucleotides long. It is a transcript of the gene named probable global transcription activator SNF2L2, with no coding region annotated. Lineage: Eukaryota; Metazoa; Chordata; Actinopteri; Syngnathiformes; Syngnathidae. The record is from RefSeq and is a predicted model, not a curated record.